AGAGUUUGAUCCUGGCUCAGGAUGAACGCCGGCGGUGUGCCUAAUACAUGCAAGUCGUACGCACUGGCCCAACUGAUUGAUGGUGCUUGCACCUGAUUGACGUUGGAUCACCAGUGAGUGGCGGACGGGUGAGUAACACGUAGGUAACCUGCCCCGGAGCGGGGGAUAACAUUUGGAAACAGAUGCUAAUACCGCAUAACAACAAAAGCCACAUGGCUUUUGUUUGAAAGAUGGCUUUGGCUAUCACUCUGGGAUGGACCUGCGGUGCAUUAGCUAGUUGGUAAGGUAACGGCUUACCAAGGCGAUGAUGCAUAGCCGAGUUGAGAGACUGAUCGGCCACAAUGGAACUGAGACACGGUCCAUACUCCUACGGGAGGCAGCAGUAGGGAAUCUUCCACAAUGGGCGCAAGCCUGAUGGAGCAACACCGCGUGAGUGAAGAAGGGUUUCGGCUCGUAAAGCUCUGUUGUUGGAGAAGAACGUGCGUGAGAGUAACUGUUCACGCAGUGACGGUAUCCAACCAGAAAGUCACGGCUAACUACGUGCCAGCAGCCGCGGUAAUACGUAGGUGGCAAGCGUUAUCCGGAUUUAUUGGGCGUAAAGCGAGCGCAGGCGGUUGCUUAGGUCUGAUGUGAAAGCCUUCGGCUUAACCGAAGAAGUGCAUCGGAAACCGGGCGACUUGAGUGCAGAAGAGGACAGUGGAACUCCAUGUGUAGCGGUGGAAUGCGUAGAUAUAUGGAAGAACACCAGUGGCGAAGGCGGCUGUCUGGUCUGCAACUGACGCUGAGGCUCGAAAGCAUGGGUAGCGAACAGGAUUAGAUACCCUGGUAGUCCAUGCCGUAAACGAUGAGUGCUAGGGGUUGGAAGGGUUCCCCCCCUUCAUGCCCGAACUAACGCAUUAAG
This 901-nucleotide ribosomal RNA is filed under the name uncultured bacterium. Its description in RNAcentral is "bacterial SSU rRNA". It matches the Rfam family "Bacterial small subunit ribosomal RNA", at positions 8 to 864 of the family's 1533-position model. The record is from RNAcentral.